RNAcentral lists this ribosomal RNA (1506 nucleotides) under Triticum aestivum (bread wheat). RNAcentral describes it as "partial small subunit ribosomal RNA". The record is from RNAcentral. Lineage: Eukaryota; Viridiplantae; Streptophyta; Magnoliopsida; Poales; Poaceae.
AUGGAACACGUUGAGAAUCCUGUUGAGGGUGACAAUGAAACUCCUAUAAGGAGUAAGAGACAGACGACUGCAAAGUCCUUUGGUGAUGAUUUUGUUGUGUACCUUGUGGAUGACACACCCAGGACUAUUUCAGAAGCCUAUGCAUCUCCUGAUGCUGACUACUGGAAGGAAGCUGUUCGUAGCGAGAUGGAUUCCAUCUUAGCUAAUAGAACCUGGGAGAUCACUGACCGUCCUUAUGGGUGCAAACCUGUAGGAUGUAAGUGGGUGUUCAAGAAGAAGCUUAGACCUGAUGGUACGAUUGAAAAGUACAAGGCACAGCUUGUGGCUAAGGGUUAUACCCAGAAAGAAGGUGAAGACUUCUUUGAUACUUACUCACCCGUGGCUAGACUAACCACAAUUCGGGUGCUACUAUCACUGGCUGCCUCACAUGGUCUUCUCGUUCAUCAAAUGGACAUUAAGACGGCUUUCCUCAAUGGAGAGUUGAAGGAGGAAAUUUACAUGGAUCAGCCAGAUGGUUUUGUUGUACCUGGUCAGGAAGGAAAGGUGUGUAAGUUAUUAAAGUCUUUAUAUGGCCUUAAACAAGCUCCUAAGGAGUGGCAUGAGAAGUUUGAAAGAACAUUAACUGCUGCCGGCUUUGUAGUAAAUGAUGGUGACAAGUGUGUGUACUAUCGCCAUGGUGGGGGCGAAGGAGUUAUUCUUUGUCUGCAUGUCGACGACAUAUUGAUCUUUGGAACCAAACUUGAUUUAAUCAAGGAGGUUAAGGAUUUCUUAUCUCGCUGUUUUGAGAUGAAGGAUCUAGGAGUAGCUGAUGUUAUCUUGAAUAUCAAGCUGUUGAGAGAUGAGAAUGGUGGGAUCACACUGCUUCAGUCUCCCUAUGUGGAAAAGGUCUUGAGUCGUUUUGGGUAUAGCGACUGCACGCCUUCUUCAACUCCAUAUGAUGCUACUGUUGCCACGAGGCCUGACAUCUCUUUUGCUGUGAGCAAGCUGAGUCGGUUUGUGUCUAAACCGGGAGAUGAUCAUUGGCGUGCGCUUGAGAGAGUUAUGCGCUACUUGAAGGGCACUGCGAGCUAUGGGAUUCACUACACCGGGUAUCCAAGGGUACUAGAGGGUUAUAGUGACUCGAACUGGAUAUCUGAUGCUGAUGAGAUUAAGGCCACAAGUGGUUAUGUUUUUACACUUGGUGGUGACACUGCCACUGUUGAAGCAGAGUGGCUUCGUGAGCUAUUAAUGGACUUACCUAUGGUUGAAAAACCAAUACCCCCUAUCCUGAUGAACUGUGAUAAUCAAACUGUGAUCGUCAAGAUAAACAGUUCUAAGGACAAUAUGAAGUCAUCAAGGCAUGUGAAGAGGAGAUUAAAAUCUGUCAGGAAACUGAGGAACUCCGGAGUUAUUACGUUGGAUUAUGUCCAAACAUCGAAAAACUUGGUAGAUCCCUUCACAAAGGGUCUAUCACGUAAUGUGAUAGAUAAUGCAUCGAUGGAGAUGGGUUUGAGACCCACCACAUGA